This 796-nucleotide long non-coding RNA is filed under the name Phascolarctos cinereus (koala). RNAcentral describes it as "lncRNA (ENSPCIG00000032731.1)". The record is from RNAcentral. Lineage: Eukaryota; Metazoa; Chordata; Mammalia; Diprotodontia; Phascolarctidae.
CGGUUUUCACCUGGGCUGGGUUGUUGCGCAUUCUGCGACAAGGAGCUGCCAGCAAACCUGGUCCAGCUCCAUCAGCCUCUCGCCCCCAGACCCCGGGCCUGCCUGAUGCCUCGUGGGAGUCCCCUCUGUGUGGGAGAUGUAGCCCCUAAGAAUACCCUGAGCCUCUUGGACAGAAUGGCUGAAAAGAAUGGGAAAAGAGAGUCAUAUUUCCCUCAAUGAGCCAGCCUGCCUGAUGGAUUAUUGCUGUGAUGCAAUGAACAGUAAAGCAGCCCCUUGUGUCCUAGAUCAGAUGGAAAUGCUCUGUGGCCCUUUCGAUGCUGAUGGUGUCUUUGAAACCAGCAGGGUAAGUCAUGUCUGUGUGGAUCUUGCUAUCAAUCUUGAUAAACUGCUGCAUGCAGAUAUUCUUAACCUUUAUUUCUAUCAGGGCAUAGCUGAAUUGUUUGCAGAGGAAGAUGAUGAGUGAGAGGCAUUCUCUCAGCUUUUUGGGAAACUGUGAAUGGUCUUGGAUAAAACAUGCCAAUCAACUUGUCCAGCAUCUAGUGCUUGGGGGGCCCAAGUAUUCCUCUAUUUAUCACAUUUAUCUUUGCUUAUAGCACAGUAGUAUUUUAUUAUACUCAUAUAGCAUGAUUCUUUUGUUCAUUCCUCAAUUCAUGGUAAUCUACUUUGUUUCCAAUUCUUUGCUGUCCCCAAAAGUGAUGCUGUAAUUAUUUUGGUGUGUAACAAUUUUUCUUAUUAUCAAUGGCCUCCUCAAGGUAUAAGCCCAGUAAUAAAAUAUCUAAGUCAAAGGGUAUGAACA